Molecule: ribosomal RNA, 450 nt
Filed under: uncultured bacterium
Lineage: Bacteria
Description: partial 16S ribosomal RNA
Rfam family: Bacterial small subunit ribosomal RNA
Source: RNAcentral
GUGGGGAAUCUUCCGCAAUGGACGAAAGUCUGACGGAGCAACGCCGCGUGAGUGAUGAAGGUCUUCGGAUUGUAAAGCUCUGUUAAUCGGGACGAAAGAGCCUAGUGUGAAUAAUGCUAGGAAGUGACGGUACCGGAAUAGAAAGCCACGGCUAACUACGUGCCAGCAGCCGCGGUAAUACGUAGGUGGCAAGCGUUGUCCGGAAUUAUUGGGCGUAAAGCGCGCGCAGGCGGAUCUGCCAGUCUGGCUUAAAAGUUCGGGGCUUAACCCCGUGAUGGGAUGGAAACUACAGAUCUAGAGUAUCGGAGAGGAAAGUGGAAUUCCUAGUGUAGCGGUGAAAUGCGUAGAUAUUAGGAAGAACACCAGUGGCGAAGGCGACUUUCUGGACGAAAACUGACGCUGAGGCGCGAAAGCCAGGGGAGCGAACGGGAUUAGAUACCCUAGUAGUCC